This is a non-coding RNA of Camellia sinensis, 453 nucleotides long. NCBI's taxonomy places the organism in Eukaryota, Viridiplantae, Streptophyta, Magnoliopsida, Ericales, Theaceae. The record is from RefSeq and is a predicted model, not a curated record.
UCUCAAUCUCUAUCUCUCUCUCUCUCUCGGCCCGAUGGUUGUUUUAUAUAUAUAUAUAUAUAUCAGAUAUAUCUCUGAUCUAAUCUGUCUCCCUCACUCUCUCAUCUCAUCAGAUCAGUCUCAUCUCUGUCCCUCCCUCUCUCGCCCCGAUAGACUCACACUGUCUCACAGGUAGGAACCCUUUAAGUCCAACCCUUCCCACUCCCAUCAGACAUGAAAAAAUUCCCCAGGGAAAGCUUUGGUUUCUCCAAUUGAGAGAUAUGCAGUUGUUCCUGAUGACAACGUCAAAAGGAUAAAUUUUGCCGAGGGGAAGAUCUGAUUCUAGAAGUAAGGAAUUUGCAGCUUGAUUUUUGAAAUAGGCUCAAACUUGAGAUCUUAUUGGAAAUUUUUUAAUUUUUGUAAGAGCAUUUAAAUAUCCAAUGUGCUGAUUGGUGAAUUUUAGAUUUUAUUUUA